Molecule: long non-coding RNA, 2731 nt
Filed under: Canis lupus familiaris (dog)
Lineage: Eukaryota; Metazoa; Chordata; Mammalia; Carnivora; Canidae
Description: lncRNA (ENSCAFG00040023742.1)
Source: RNAcentral
AUGUCUGGUGCCUCGCGAAGGAUGCUCUUCCCCCGGGGCUGUCGAGGCGGACCCCCCGCAGACAGCUCCGCGCGCCGAGACCCGCGCCCGGCUGCAGGGGGAGGGGAUCCGGGCGCCCCCCGCCCCCCGCCUCCGCGCCCCGCCCCCCGCCCCCGCCCGCCGCCCGCCGCCUCACCUAUCAGAUUUCCCGUGCGCCUCGCCGCGCCCCUCCUCCCGCCUCCUCAAUGCCGAGCGGAGGGGCAGCCGCCCUCGGCCUGGACCCGGCGCCGGCGACGACCGGCCGCGCGCCUCCCCGUGUCGCCGCGAUGCGGCUGUGAGCUCACUGCGGCUGCAGCCCGCCGGGCCGGGGGGGCGCGGGGAGCGCGGGCAGCGCGGGGCGCACGUUUCUAAUGAAAUAUUCCAAAUCAACCUCAAGGCCAAACAUGUUCCAUCUGGAGAUGGAGCCAGGGAUGGAGACAUAUCAACCCAUCCAGGGAUAUUUCCCCGGCGUUCACUGAGUAUCACCGGGACCCAUGUGAGAACUUGUAACUCACUGCUGGGAAUAUAUUUUUCUCUAGACUGGCUUCUUCAUUUGUCUUUCCCACAUUUCCUUCCCUUUGCUGUCCUUUCUUUUCUGUGGUGUUAUGCCUGUUUGCUGUUUCUCUUUACAUCAAUUAUAUUUAAGAAGGGCAGGUUCUGCUCUACCUUCAGAUAUAAUGUGAAUGAAUUAUCCUUGGUUGCUUUUCUCCUUAUGUGAGAAUUAUUUCUUUUCUGCUUGGAGAUUUAAUUUGUGUUCUGGAUAUCAUGUUUUAUCUGCUUUGCUGUUGCCUGAGGAUACAAAGGAGGCGGAGCUGGAAUUGUGGCUAAUUGUGAUUGCUGGGUUUAGAUUCUCUUUGUGCAUCCUGUAAUUGUAUGAAGAGUUGCUUUCAGGGUACGCUUGGGUUUUAGAUUGCCUCCAAAUUCAGAAUGUAGCUUGAAAGCAUUAAAUUUUUUUUCAAAUUAUGAAGUAUUUCAAACAUACAACUGAGUUAGGAUUUAAAAUAUAUUAGGUGUGUAAUUCAAGAAGUUAGACAAAAGACAAAGUUAACCUUUAAAAGGCUAGGAAAGGAAAAAUGAGGAUACGAGUAGCAAUGAGUGAAAUAGAGAAUAAAGCAGACAGCAGUGUUUGCAGACUCAAAAACUAUUUGUUAGAAAAACCAGGGACAUAAAGCCCAGCAAGAUUUAACGAAAAAGAGAAAAGAGCAUAAAUAAAUUGUAUUAAAAAUAAAUAAGGUGCACAACCAUGGAGAGACAACACUUUUAUUUUUAAUUUUUUUUUUUUUUUGAGAGAGAGAGAGCAAGCAUGAGCAAAGGAAGAAGGGGCAAAGGGAGAGGGACAGAGGAUCUCAGACAGACCCCCUACUGAGCAUGAAGCCUGACAUGACCCUGAGAUCAUGACCUGAGUCGAAAUCAAGAGUCGAUGGUCAAAUGACUGAGCCAGCCAGGUGCCCUGAGAAAUGACAAUUUUAAAUCGUAAUAGAAUAUUAAAAACAAUUUUGUGCUGUUACCUUUCAAAACAUAGAUCAUUUUGUAAAAAUAACAAAGUUCACUGAAGAAGAACUAGGUCCUGAAUAAAAAAUAACAAUGAAACACACUGAAUUUAUUUAUUUAUUUAUUUAUUUAUUUAUUUAUUUAUUUAUUUAUUUAUUAUUUUAAAAAUUUUAUUUUUUUAUUCAUGAGAGACAGAGAGAGAGAGAGAGAGGCAGAAACACAGGCAGUGGGAGAAGCAGGCUCCAUGCAGGGAGCCGGACGUGGGCUCCAUCCCGAGACUCCAGGGCCACGCCCUGGGCCAAAGGCAGGCACCAAGCCGCUGAGCCACCCAGGCGUCUGAAACACACUGAAUUUAUAAUCAGAAUUAUACCUGAUCCCAUCCUAAAAGACAAUAACCCUAGAAAGAUUUAGAGAUGAACUUCACUAAAUUUUAAGGGAACAACAAAAAGCAACCCUUUCAUUGUGCAAGCUAUUAUAAGAAACAGAAAAAUUCUCAACUUCAGAUGGCCGCACUAAAAGAAAAUAAAAUAAUUAAUAGUGUUGCUUCUAGGGCAGCCCGGGUGGCCCAGUGGUUUAGCACCGCCUUUGGCCCCAGGUGUGAUCCUGGAGACCCGGGAUUGAGUCCCAUCAGGCUCUCUGCAUGGAGCCUGCUUCUCUCUCUGCCUGGGUCUCUGCCUCUCCCUCUCUCUCUCUCUCUCUCUCUUUCUCAUGAAUAAAUAAAUAAAAUCUUAAAAAAAUAGUGUUGCUUCUAAACACAAAUGGAAAGUUCCUAAAUAACACAUCAGGUUUUUAUUAAUAUAUGACAUCAGUAAGUUAAAGGAGGGAAAAAUACAUGAUUACCUCAAACGAUGCAGCCCAAAAUAAAAGAAUCAAUAAAUUUCAGCACUAGUUCCUGACAAAGCAGGGAGCUUUCUUAAUUUGUCCGAGACAUUUAUUGAAAUGCCUACCAUCAUAUUAAUGGUAAGCCUUAAAAGAAUUCUUAUUAAAGUCAAGAGCGAAACAAGGGUGUCAUUAUCAGUGCUUUAUAUUCAACAUGGUACUUGAGCUUCUAGCCUGUGCAAUAAGACCAGAAAAGAAACGAAGUUGUUAUUAUUUGCAGACAAUAUUGUGUCAGAUCAAAUAGCCUAGAUUAUGCCAUAGAAACAACCUGCAAAUCUCAGAUCUUAAUGCUGUAAGUCUGUUUUCACAUAGGCAAAGUCUAUUGCCAAUUCAAGCUACUUUU